GCUGCGAAAUCCCGCUUUAGGCUUUUUCAUCUAGGCUUCCGAGCCUAUAAGAUUGACGUGUACAAUUUGAAUAUAUAGGCCAUAUGCAAACAUGGGCAUGCUGCGCGGUUUCUUUUAGUAAAUUUCAAACCAUAUGAAAAUCAUUUAAGUAGGCUACUUAAAGGUCUUUGAGAACACAACUUCAAGUAGCCUAUACUAGCACAUUUCCAGAUCCUUCUCUCAAGCAAGUUUAAUGGAUCAGAGAACGACCGGCCAUUUCGGAUGAACAAAUAAUGGGAAAAUGUGCAGUAGGUUAAUAUUUAGAGCACAAGGCUUGGUGAUGCAACGGACAUGAUUUUAUGAUAAACGCCAGCUCAAUCAAUCAAUGAAUGAAGGUACGAUCAGGUUUUAUAGCUUAUCAAUAAAGGGAUGGUCACCGAGCACUAUGGCACCCGAAUACAAUGCUGAAAUCGAAAGAAUUCAUGUCGAACACUGGGCCUACUGGUAGUCACCGGAGAAGACGGUCACAUUGCGGAAGAGAUGAGUGAAAGAAAAAUGUAUGUUAAUGUGGGCGAAAUGGCGGCCAAAGACACAGCGCUGAGGGGGGAGUUGAAGGACAGAUCACUAAUGGACGUGCGGUCAGUCCAGCUCUCCGUAGGCUCAUCAUGGUGAUCCCAGCAGCUGGUGCCUAUCAAACCAGGUGUGGAAUAUGCACCAGCGGGGGCUAAGCACUCGGAAAAUGAGCACCCUGUCAGCGGGAAAAUUAAACGUUUGAUGGAAAGGUGCCAAA
Molecule: long non-coding RNA, 769 nt
Organism: Anguilla rostrata (American eel)
Lineage: Eukaryota; Metazoa; Chordata; Actinopteri; Anguilliformes; Anguillidae
Exons: 2
Source: RefSeq, a predicted model, not a curated record